UUUUAGAGAGCCAAACAUGAUUA
Molecule: non-coding RNA, 23 nt
Filed under: Rattus norvegicus (Norway rat)
Lineage: Eukaryota; Metazoa; Chordata; Mammalia; Rodentia; Muridae
Source: RNAcentral